UACGAAGGGGGCUAGCGUUGCUCGGAAUCACUGGGCGUAAAGGGUGCGUAGGCGGGUCUUUAAGUCAGGGGUGAAAUCCUGGAGCUCAACUCCAGAACUGCCUUUGAUACUGAGGAUCUUGAGUUCGGGAGAGGUGAGUGGAACUGCGAGUGUAGAGGUGAAAUUCGUAGAUAUUCGGAAGAACACCAGUGGCGAAGGCGGCUCACUGGCCCGUUACCGACGCUCAGGCGCGACAGCGUGGGGAGCAAACAGGG
Molecule: ribosomal RNA, 254 nt
Filed under: uncultured bacterium
Lineage: Bacteria
Description: partial 16S ribosomal RNA
Rfam family: Bacterial small subunit ribosomal RNA
Source: RNAcentral